GUGCUCACUUUGGCAGCACAUAUUCUAAAAUUGGAACGAUACAGAGAGGAUCAGCAUGGCCCCUGUGCAAGGAUGACACCCAAAUUCGUGAAGGGUUCCAUAUUUUU
This is a small nuclear RNA of Meriones unguiculatus (Mongolian gerbil), 107 nucleotides long. Lineage: Eukaryota; Metazoa; Chordata; Mammalia; Rodentia; Muridae. The record is from Ensembl.